This 792-nucleotide ribosomal RNA is filed under the name Eutropis macularia (bronze grass skink). Its description in RNAcentral is "partial 12S ribosomal RNA". It matches the Rfam family "Bacterial small subunit ribosomal RNA", at positions 325 to 1404 of the family's 1533-position model. The record is from RNAcentral. Lineage: Eukaryota; Metazoa; Chordata; Lepidosauria; Squamata; Scincidae.
AACAACCCAGUGAGAAUGCCCUAAACCCCUAAACAGGAAAACAGGAGCAGGCAUCAGGCCCCAUGAAUAGCCAAAGACGCCUUGYUACGCCACACCCACACGGGUACUCAGCAGUGAUUAACAUUAAAACAUGAGUGAAAGCUCGACUUAGUUAUGGUUAAUAUGCCCGGUUAAUUUCGUGCCAGCCACCGSGGUUAUACGAAAGGCCUAAAACAACGACCUUCGGYGUAAAGAGUGGCUAAGAGACAACUGAAAUUUUAAAGGGAAACCUGUUACAAAGCUGUAAAACGCCUUGCACCAAGAACCACAACAAAUGCCUUUAAGCACACCAGACGCUCCAACCCCACGAAAGCUAAGAAACAAACUAGGAUUAGAUACCCUACUAUGCUUCGCCCUAAACACAAAUGGCAAAAACACAAUGCCAUUCGCCAGAGAACUACAAGUGAAAAACUAAAAACUCCAAGGACUUGGCGGUACUCCAUACCGACCUAGAGGAGCCUGUCCUAUAAUCGAUACCCCCCGUUUUACCCUACCACCCCUAGUAAAUCAGCCUAUAUACCGCCGUCGUCAGCUUACCCUGUGAAAGACUAACAGUGAGCAAAAUAGUCAUGAACUAACACGUCAGGUCAAGGUGUAGCAUAUGGGAUGGAAGAGAUGGGCUACAUUUUCUCCCACAGAAAACACGCACAUUACGGUGAAACUCCGCUCUUUAAGGAGGAUUUAGCUGUAAGCCAGACAAGAGAGUCUGCCUUAACCCCGCUCUGGAGUGCGCACACACCGCCCGUCACCCUC